RNAcentral lists this ribosomal RNA (534 nucleotides) under Babesia canis. Its description in RNAcentral is "partial small subunit ribosomal RNA". It matches the Rfam family "Eukaryotic small subunit ribosomal RNA", at positions 539 to 1100 of the family's 1831-position model. Lineage: Eukaryota; Apicomplexa; Aconoidasida; Piroplasmida; Babesiidae. The record is from RNAcentral.
GAGUAGCAAUUGGAGGAGCAAGUCUGGUGCCAGCAGCCGCGGUAAUUCCAAAGCUCCAAUAGCGUAUAUUAAACUUGUUGCAGUUAAAAAGGCUCGUAGUUGAACUUUAGCGUGUUCGAGUUUGCGGCAUUCGUUUGGCCUUUUCGAGUUCGCUUUUGGGUUUUUCCCUUUUUACUUUGAGAAAAUUAGAGUGUUUCAAGCCCAGACUUUUGUCUUGAAUACUUCAGCAUGGAAUAAUCAGAGUAGGACUUUGGUUCUAUUUUGUUGGUUAUUGAUUACCUUAGUAAUGGUUAAUAGGAACGGUUGGGGGCACUUCGUAUUUAACUGUCAGAGGUGAAAUUCUUAGAUUUUUGUUAAAGACGAACUACUGCGAAAGCAUUUGCCAAGGGACGUUUCCAUUAAUCAAGAACGAAAGUUAAAAACGAAGACGAUCAGAUACCGUCGUAGUCCUAACCAUUUAAACCAUGCCGACUAGUGAUUGGAGGUCGUCGUUUUUUUUUGCUGACCCCUUCCCCAGGAACUUGAGAGAAAUAA